GGCUCAGUAGUCAGUGUAGAUCCUG
Molecule: microRNA, 25 nt
Filed under: Eptesicus fuscus (big brown bat)
Lineage: Eukaryota; Metazoa; Chordata; Mammalia; Chiroptera; Vespertilionidae
Description: efu-miR-222
Gene: efu-miR-222
Source: miRBase by way of RNAcentral